GGACUCUUAGCUCAGUUGGUAGAGCAGUUGACUCUUAAUCAAUUGGUCCAGGGUUCGAGUCCCUGAGAGUCCAUCA
Molecule: transfer RNA, 76 nt
Filed under: Paenibacillus pabuli
Lineage: Bacteria; Bacillati; Bacillota; Bacilli; Caryophanales; Paenibacillaceae
Also listed under: 9 other names
Description: tRNA-Lys
Rfam family: tRNA
About the family: Transfer RNA (tRNA) molecules are approximately 80 nucleotides in length. Their secondary structure includes four short double-helical elements and three loops (D, anti-codon, and T loops).
Source: RNAcentral